Molecule: long non-coding RNA, 756 nt
Organism: Folsomia candida
Lineage: Eukaryota; Metazoa; Arthropoda; Collembola; Entomobryomorpha; Isotomidae
Exons: 2
Source: RefSeq, a predicted model, not a curated record
ACUGGAGAAAAUAGUGGAACAUAAAGAGGCCAUUUACAGCCAUUACUACCACUAGUAUUACAGAGUCAACCUACCAAGAAGUGAAGUCAAGCCACUUUACUGCAUCUGAGAGGAGGAGGACGAGGACGAGAAAUGCACCCAACUAAAGAACCCAAAAUUAUACAUUCCUUAAAAUGGAGUAAAUAUUUUUUAACUGUUCGAGUAAAGAAGAAAGGAGGUGAGUAAGUUUAUUUCUCUAAUUAAAUCAAAAUAAAUACUUUUCAAACGUAAAAAAGUAUAUUUUUUCAGGUCAAAGGAAUUCGUUCCAGUCCGAUGGGAGAAAGUUUGUUUGGUUGGUAGCUUUUUCCAUUUUAUUGGGCUGGGAGACGGAAAAAGUAGAAGAGGAGUAGGAGUCGUUCAAGGAGUAGCUGCGGGCCUGCAGAGACAAGAGAACCGUUUUUAAAAACUUUUUAAACUUUUAUAAACUACAAAGAGAGAAAGGUGCAGGUUGCGACGGGGGAGAAGAAAGAAGGAGUGAGUAAAUUUGAAGGAAUUUGCUGUUAGACAGCAGAGUGUAAAUAUUUGUAAGAAUGGAAAUUCAAGUGGGCAGAGGCAAAAUGGUAGGUAUGCCAUAUUUAUGUAUGGAUGUUUGCAUGUGUGUGUGAAGAUUUGAGGGAAUAUUUUAUUUUCCUAGACAAAAAAUGACCUUAUGGUUGUGUCUGUAUGUCUGAGAAUAAUUGAAGGUCAUUUUGCAGAAUAUAUGAAAUGUAAAAAAAA